CCCAGCUGUAGACAAUGGCCUAGGUCGCAUUGUACCUAGGCAAGUGUUACACUGCUGGUAGAAAUGCAGCUAAUAGCUGGUGACAGCCUGACCUGGAUAAUGUCAAUUUGUGUUAACCAU
RNAcentral lists this small nucleolar RNA (120 nucleotides) under Ochotona princeps (American pika). RNAcentral's name for it is "Small nucleolar RNA SNORA74 (ENSOPRG00000022596.1)". Lineage: Eukaryota; Metazoa; Chordata; Mammalia; Lagomorpha; Ochotonidae. The record is from RNAcentral.